This is a long non-coding RNA of Alosa sapidissima (American shad), 164 nucleotides long. RefSeq lists it as uncharacterized. The transcript has 3 exons. Lineage: Eukaryota; Metazoa; Chordata; Actinopteri; Clupeiformes; Clupeidae. The record is from RefSeq and is a predicted model, not a curated record.
AAUCAACUCCAGUUAGAGGCCGCUUGCAGUGCUACAGCAGAAGAAAGAGAUGAGCUACGCAUACAAUUAACUAAACUGGAGUCGAUGAAGAACGUAAAACCCUAUAUAGUGAGGGUCACCCUGGAUCCUGACACGGCACACCCCAACCUCAUCCUCUCUGCUGA